Molecule: non-coding RNA, 92 nt
Organism: Pelobates cultripes (western spadefoot toad)
Lineage: Eukaryota; Metazoa; Chordata; Amphibia; Anura; Pelobatidae
Source: the annotation of a GenBank genome assembly
UAGAUCCCCAGAUGUUUAAAACUACACCUUCCAUGAUGCUUUGCCAUGCAAACCAUCAUGGGAGUUGUAGUUUUACAACAUCUGGGGAUCUA